AUUGAACGCUGGCGGCAGGCUUAACACAUGCAAGUCGAGCGGGGGAGGUAGCUUGCUACCGGACCUAGCGACGGACGGGUGAGUAAUGCUUAGGAAUCCGCCUAUUAGUGGGGGACAACAUCUCGAAAGGGAUGCUAAUACCGCAUACGUCCUACGGGAGAAAGCAGGGGAUCUUCGGACCUUGCGCUAAUAGAUGAGCCUAAGUCGGAUUAGCUAGUUGGUGGGGUAAAGGCCUACCAAGGCGACGCUCUGUAGCGGGUCUGAGAGGAUGAUCCGCCACACUGGGACUGGGACACGGCCCAGACUCCUACGGGAGGCAGCAGUGGGGAAUAUUGGACAAUGGGGGGAACCCUGAUCCAGCCAUGCCGCGUGUGUGAAGAAGGCCUUAUGGUUGUAAAGCACUUUAUGCGAGGAGGAGGCUACUUUAGUUAAUACCUAGAGAUAGUGGACGUUACUCGCAGAAUAAGCACCGGCUAACUCAGUGCCAGCCGCCGCAGUAA
RNAcentral lists this ribosomal RNA (500 nucleotides) under uncultured bacterium. RNAcentral describes it as "partial 16S ribosomal RNA". It matches the Rfam family "Bacterial small subunit ribosomal RNA", at positions 30 to 523 of the family's 1533-position model. The record is from RNAcentral.